AGUUACUCCCGGAAGCCCUGGGACGGGUGGUGAGGGGCCCGGGCGGAUGGCGCGCCUUAGAGAGGAUGCUGUUCGUGCUGCUUUCCGUGCCGUGUUUUCUGAAAGGUUGGAGGAGAUUAGGUGUCUCUCGGGCUGACAUUUGAAGGUCUGGAGCUGGCCGUUUAUGAGGGUUUAUAAGGGUUUUAAGCGCUCCGGCCAUGGGCGCCAACCCGAUCUUCCAGCCCCUGCGGACGGACUGCCCCCCCCCGCCCUGGGGGGAUUGGCUGCUCUGGGACCCCGAGCCCAGAGGACAGUGAGAAGCUGACAAACCUUAAAUACAGACCAGAAGAGGAGUUUGGGGCUUGACACCUGACGUCUUAACACCAGUUCCUGUUUCUUGAGGAAGGAAGAGGUAAAAUAAAUCAGCGUUUACUGUGUCCUUCUCCAUCCCCGGAAGUCUUCAUGAAGACCCUCUCAGCUUCUACUUGAACGUGAAUAUGAGCAACUGAUCAUCUGUUCUGCGGUCAGCCCCUGGCCUGAUUCUGACUCAUGAUAUUGACCUUCUCCAUCAUCACCUUCCACAAAUUUGAUUCCUAUCUAUUCUGCCUGGAAUAGUUCAUGAGUAUAGUCACCAUUUAUGUUCCUGACGAAAGACAUUAUGCUCAUUCUCAGGGCCCUGAGACCUCAUCUGCAGCAGGUGAAGGCAUUCGUGGAGAGAGGCGGUUUCCGUGCGUGCAGGCAAAGUGUGUGCUGAGAUGAGUCGCUGGAGACUGGGGUGGACUCUUCAGACCCAGGAUAGGCCUCUGGCAGGUAUAUGUCAAUGUUUUCUGCCCAUGGCACUCACCCGGAUAUUUGCAUACAAUGUUAUCAGUGGAAUUAGUAGUCUCCAGAGAGGCUGCCACAUGUCAGCAAGCUUCACCUGGCCAGGUCCGCCCAGGAUGUAGCUCCCCAAUCAAUCACUACUCUCUAGACCUUCCAGAUAGACUAGCAGAUCUUCUCUGCCCAUGGGCAACCAGUAGAGCCAGAGGCCUUCUCUCUUUGCUCUUUCGUCUCUAGGCAUUCUAUCAGGCAUUCCAAGCUGUGAAGUGCCUGGGAGGAGAAGGAAGAGAUUUCAGAGAAUGAACACAUACAGAGAGACAGGCAAGAGACGGAGAAGGCAUUCGUGGAGAAAGGCAGAUUCCAUGUGUGCAGGCAAAGUGUGUGCUGACAUGAUGAGACCCUGGAGACCAGGGUGGACUCUUCAGACCCAGGACAGGCCUCUGGCAGGUAUGUGUCAAUGUUUUCUGCCCGUGGCACUCAACCGGGUAUUUGCAUACAGUGUCAUCAGCAGAAUUAGUAGUCUCCGGAGAGGCUACCACAUGUCAGCAAGCUUCACCUGGCCAGAGUCCACCCGUGAUGUAGCUCCCCAAUCAGUCACUACUGUCUAGACCUUCCAGAUAGACUAGCAGAUCUUCUCUGCCCAUGGGCAACCAGUAGAGCCAGAGGCCUUCCCCCUUUGCUCUUUCGUCUCUAGGCUCUCUAUCAGGCACUCCAAGCUGUGAAGUGACUCAGGGAGAGAAGGAAGAGAUUUCAGAGAAUGAACACAUACAGAGAGAGAGGCAAGAGAUGCUGAGUGGGGAUGUCUUGCGUACUGAUAUCCUCAGGAAAGUGGGAAAAUUGGACCCUGGCCUGCUCUGCCAAUGCCGUGAAGCAGUCCACUCCAGGGGCUCCCUUGUGCCUGCAUAGCCUUUCCCAGGGUGUGCUCAAAUCCUGUGGCCACUAGGUGUCCUAGGUCACAAUGGAGGACCCUGUGUCAUCUGCCUGGCGGACUGGAUCUCUGCCAUUGGCUGAGUCUUGUCACCAGGCCCAUCAUAAGCUCUGCCCACUCUUCCGGUGGGGAGACUCUCUCCAUGGUGAUGGCAAAGAAACCUUAGUCCUGCCCACCUGGCCUUCACUUCACGUACCUGGCCUGCUGACCCUCACUCAGACCUCUGUGUUGAUCAAAAUGAAUGUCCGCCAGUGGCCCGGUGUCAGCGUCUGGUAUAAAGGAUUCGGGACUGUGCCUGAGGCAGAAGGCAGCCUAGGUCUGCGGGUACCUGGAAGUCUAGUGACUUGUGACGCUGCUGCCAGUGACAAAUGGUGACUCCCACACUCACAUAUCCCCUGGUGGCAGAAGGAUAGUGAUGGGUGGAGAAACAUGGCUCCGGAGCACACGUUCAGUGGGGCACCGGCGAAAUGCCAGGGCCAGUAGUGGACGUCGUGGAGCUGUAUGGCGAGCCAGUGAAGGGCCUAAGGAUUUCUCCGAUGAGGCAAAAUGCAGAUCAAGCCAAGGAACACAAAGAUAAAGCAGCUGAAGAAAUUAAAAAGGUUACUCAAGAACAUAAUUAAAAAUUUAAUAAGCUGUAAGAAACCAUAGAGAGACUGCAAUCAGAGAUUGAGAAGAUUAACAAUAAAAUUACAGUUAGAAAACUCAAUAGAAAGUAAGAAGAGCACAAUUGAGGAAUUGGAAGGCAGAAUUACUGAGAUUGAAGAUCAAACUCUUGGGACUAAUAUAUUUGAUGAGAAAGCAGAUAAAAGAAUUUUAAAUGAAGAAAUCCAAAGAAUCAUGUGGGACUUUAUCAAGAGAAAUAACUAUGAGUGAUUUCAGUACCAGAACAGGGAGGGCUAACAGAAAAUACAAAGGGAACUGUUGAAGAUUUGUUGGCAGAAAACUUCCAUGAUAUCAUGAAAGAUGCUCAUCGAAUUCCACAUAAGGUAGAUCUCAAAAGAAAGUGACCGAGACACAUAAUAAUCAAACUUGCCAAAAUCAAAUAUAAAGAGAAUUUUAAGAGAGGCUAGGGAUAAAGGAAGUCACCAACAAAGGAGAGUAAAUAAUAAAAAACUUGGACUACUCAGCAGAAAUCAUGCAGGCAAGAAGGCAAAGGGAUGACUUACACAAAAUAUUGAAGGAAAAAAAUUGCCAGCCAGGAAUCAAACCAUAACCCUGGCCCUCUGGCCCUCUGGCCCUCUGGCCUUAGCCCUCUAACUCUAGCCCCUAAGCCCUGAGCCCCAAAGCCCCUAAGACCCUAAGCCCUUAGGUCCUAACCCCCAAGGCCCUAAACUCUAACCCUAACCCAAACCCUAACGCCUAUACCCUAAACUCUACAACCUAAACACCUACACCCCAAAACACUACACAUCAAAACCCUACACACUAAACCCUAUACUCUAAGCCUCAAACCCUAAACCCAAACCUCAAACCCCAAACCCUAAACCUAACCGUAAACCCUAAUACCUAACCCUAACCCCUAACCACCCUAACCCUAAUGACCCUAACUCUAACCCUCGAACCCUAACCCUCUAACGCUAACAUGAAACCCUAAUCCGAAACCUGAACCCUCUAACUCUAACCUCUAGCCCUAACCCUCUAACCCUAGCCCUAAUCCUAACCCUAACCUCCAAACCCAACCCCAAACCCUAAACCUCAAAUCCCUAGCCCUAAACCUAAGAAUGAGCCUAAGCCUAACCCUAUCACUUAACUCUAAACCCUAAACCAUAACACUUAAAACCCUAACACGCAAAACCCUAACACCCUUAGCCCUAACACAUUUAACCCUAACACCCUAAACGCCAAAACCCUAAACACUAACACCCUUAACCCCAACCCCUAACCCCUAAACCCUAAACUUAAACACUAAACCGUCAAACCCUCUAACCCUAAUACCCUAAACCCUAACCCCAGCCCCCAGCCUUAAAGCUCACUCUAAGCCUUAAACCUUAAGCCCUAAACCCUAGGCUCUAAGCCCUAAGCCCUAAACUCUAAAUCCUAAAACCCUAAACUCUAAGCCCUAAGCCUAACCCUCUAAUCCUAAACCCCAAAACCUUACCCCAAACCCCUAAACCUUAAGCCCUAGCCCUAACCCCUAACCCUAAUCCUCUAAGCCUAACCCUCUAACCCUAACUCUCUAACCCUAACCACAACACCAACCCCAACCUCUGAACCCUGAAACCCUAACCCCCUAACCCCAAGCUUCUGAACCCUAAGCCUAAACCCUCUAACCCUAAACCCUAACCUUCACCCCCUCACACCCUCACCUUCUCACUCCCUCACUCUAUAAUCUUCUCACCUCUAACCCCCUCACCCUCUAACCCCUGACCCUCUAACUCCCUCAAUCUCUAACCCCCAACCCUCUAGACCCCAACCCUCUAACACCCACCCUCUAACCCCAAACCACAUAUCCCAAACAAACCCAACACCAACCCCAACCCUAAACCUAACCUCUAACUCCUAAAACCUAACCCAAAACCUAACGACUAAACCCCAACGACUAAACCCCAAAACCCUAAACCCCAAACUGCAACCCCUAACACCUAACCUGUAACUCCAAACUCUAACUUCAAACCCUAAACCUAACCCUAACACCUAACCCCAACCAAAAAAUCCUAACCCUAAACUCUAACCCCAAACCCUAACAACCCUAACCCUAACAUCCCUAACCCCAAACCCUAACCGUUUUUGUUAGCAGCCGUAGCACAUAACCACUAGCCACCAGGGUUUCCACGAGCAGUCACAGGAAUAGACAUAUGCACACCCGUGUUCACUGCAACAUUAUUCACAGUAGCAAAAAGAUGGGAACAACCUAAGUGCUCGUCCACAGAGGAAUGGAUAAACAAACUACGGUACAUACACACAGUGGAACACUACACGACAAUAAAGACCAAUGAUGAAUCUCCGAAACAUCUCACACCAUGGAUGAAUCUGGGGCGCAUCACACUGACUAAGUCAAUCACAAAAUGACAUAUACAGUGAGAGACCACUAUCAUAAAAACUCAUGAAAACAUUUACGCACAGAAACAAUCCUUGAUGUUCACCAGGGAGACGAAGAGUGGGUAGAGAAAAGCCAACUAAACAAUAACCAAAAAAACCAAACCCACUGCUGUCGAGUCAAUUCCAGCUCAUAGCGAUCCUACAGGACAGAUUAGAACUGCCCCACAGAGUUUCCAAGGAGUGCCUGGUGGAUUCGAACUGCAGACCUUUGGUUAGCACCGAUGGCUCUUAACCGCUACGCCACCAGGGUUUCCAACCAAACAACAGAUCGGUGGUAACUCUGGCGAAGGAAAGACGGUACACAAGACUGGGGAAUCAACCUCAGCCUCACUCUAACCCUAACCCUAAACCACUUGUGCCCGAGCCUAGUAACCCCAGCCCUAACCCCAACCCCCAACCACCUAAAACCUAUACCCCUAAACCUAACUCCCAAACCUCUAACCCCCAAACCCUAACCCCUAACCCUAAUCCUCUAACCCUUCUGCAUCUCUGGGCCUCUCGACUCUCCGUCUAUUUUCUCCCUCGAAAUCGUACUAACACUCAGUGGAAUUUUGAA
Molecule: long non-coding RNA, 5321 nt
Organism: Loxodonta africana (African savanna elephant)
Lineage: Eukaryota; Metazoa; Chordata; Mammalia; Proboscidea; Elephantidae
Exons: 7
Source: RefSeq, a predicted model, not a curated record